UGAAACUGAUUUGGGGGGAGUGGGGGUGGGCUGGUUGUGGGUGGAAAGCCAUCUCAGGCUCUACUGGGUAACGCACAGCAGUCUUUUCACACCAGAACACUCACCACACAUCUGCUGAGGUGGUGCGGGAGGGAUUUAUUUAGCCAAUUAAACUGUUGGAUGAUUAGAUGGCCAGAUUGAGAGAGCUGUUUCGGGACUUCAGCCGUUUCUCAAACCAAUUAAGAUGGCGCGAGUGCACGCACUGUAUCCAAGCGCGUCCGGAUUUCACCCAGCACUCUUCUUCUCCCCGUGAGCACUCGGAAAAAAAGGGGGCGGGGGAGAGAAUUCUCAUGGCGGGCAGCCAGCCUUCCCUCACUAUGAGAGUGAUGGAUGGAGAUAAAUCUCAGCGCGCGUUGUCCAACAGGCGCUAUGCACAAAACAAAAUAAAAAUACGACCUCCGACAGCCGUAUUUUUCUGAAAAACAAUUCCCACGCGGCUAUCGUUUCCGACCGCGGAUGAGCUGGAAACGCAAGGACGCCACGCUCCAUUUCCUGUUGUCCGCCAGGUGAGACCUUCGUAGAGCAGAUCAGGCGGAGGACCUUGCCGAAGGGCAAAGCCGUUCCGAGCGCCAGCUGGGAUUCAAACCUGCAGGCCCUCAGGGUCACUGGCCGGCCUCGGUCCUGGACCGCCGCUGCUAAAAGACGUGGCAGGGCAUUGUGCUGCACAGAUUCUCUGGCUGUUAUGUGGAUUGCUGAGAGGAACAAAGGUGGUCAGUUGAGCUGUUCGUGCGUUGGAGGACACGAGUACUGGAGUAUGGCCCUUCAGAACCAUCUGAGAACAGUACGAGUUUGAUCAUGAAUCUGACGCCAAACCCUUUUUUGCCGUUCAGAAACAAAUGCUCUCCUCUUCUGACUUGACUGCACCGCAUUUGUUUUGGAUCCAUUGCAUUAUACAUCAUCCUCUUCAAUACCAGGAUCAGGAUACUGCUAAAACCAUCAAAGAGUCGAGUGAUUUCGUCUCUGCAGGGAAAUUGAUGUUUUUGUCUCUUUCCCUUUUUUGGGAGAGCGUUUCCUUUUCCCUUGUGAGGGAAUGAGUCACCCAUGGCAUUCCUGCCAUCCUGUCCAGAGGUUUCCUGACUCGUCUUUCCCCAUUUCUUUGAUCAUUUGCAAAACAGGCGUGGCACACAAUGUCCUGCUGCCCACAAUGUUCUCGAGGACCAAUUGACAACUGUGGUUUACUGUUCCCUUUUUCAAAAGUGUUUUUCAUUAUAACUGCUGAAACAGCUUCCAGAAGGGAACCCCUAAUUGCUCUGGUGAAUGCGAGGCAUCAAUUGUAAAGGGCUUUGGAUUAAAGCGCUAUAUAAAUACA
Molecule: long non-coding RNA, 1348 nt
Organism: Anguilla rostrata (American eel)
Lineage: Eukaryota; Metazoa; Chordata; Actinopteri; Anguilliformes; Anguillidae
Exons: 4
Source: RefSeq, a predicted model, not a curated record